Molecule: ribosomal RNA, 253 nt
Filed under: uncultured bacterium
Lineage: Bacteria
Description: partial 16S ribosomal RNA
Rfam family: Bacterial small subunit ribosomal RNA
Source: RNAcentral
UACGUAGGGGGCAAGCGUUGUCCGGAUUUAUUGGGCGUAAAGAGCGUGUAGGCGGUUCGUUAAGUCCGAUGUGAAAGCCCCGAGCUCAACUUGGGAACUGCAUUGGAAACUGGCGGGCUGGAGUGUGGCAGAGGGGGGUGGAAUUCCACGUGUAGCAGUGAAAUGCGUAGAGAUGUGGAGGAACACCGAUGGCGAAGGCAGCCCCCUGGGCCAACACUGACGCUCAGGCACGAAAGCGUGGGGAGCAAACAGG